RNAcentral lists this long non-coding RNA (1007 nucleotides) under Olea europaea subsp. europaea. Lineage: Eukaryota; Viridiplantae; Streptophyta; Magnoliopsida; Lamiales; Oleaceae. The record is from RNAcentral.
UGUAAAUGUGCUAUUGUAUAUAUAGAGAGGUGAAAUGCUAAGGUCUCCAUAUACAAACCCAAGACUCUGAUACGCUAAAAGCAGAGUGGUCUUCCAAGAAUCCUUCUAAAAAAUCGAUUAACGAUCAAUAUUUGAAGAAUGUAGCAGCCCAAAUAGGAACGUACAAGGGAAACUUUAAAGUACACUUUACUAACAAACACUGCAUAUAAUGGCAAGUUGGACCCAUAAUUGUUGUAAAUAAAUGACAAGAACUGUGAAUUAAAAAUCUUUGAAGUGCCCCAGCAACUCCCAUAGUCAAGAUCCAUGGUUCUUGAACGUUAAUCUUUGUUCAAAAUUGCAGGUAAUUGUAAUAAUUUACUGUAGAUCAUCAAAGAAUCAGAUAUACGAAAUUAGCCCCAAAAAAAAAAUAAAAAAUGAAGAGAUAAUACAACAAGAAAACACCAAAUGAUAGCCUAAUAGCUCUAAUUUCAAACCAAAAAUAUGUAAAAAGCAACAACCAUUGCCUACUUCUUACUAAACACAUGUGCCAUGCUCACACCUUCCGCAUUUUCAAUAAGAUGACAUCUGUAAUCUUAAGAACAUUAAAUGAGGCCUCAAAGCCAUCUUUAUCAAAAUCAUUAGCAAAAUGUGAGCGCCAAAUUAAUUGAAACUCAUCCAUUUGCUACACUUUCUUCCUUUGUGGUUGACCAUAAGGAAAAUAAAAAGAAUAGCACCACUUGCUUUAAAAGCUGACAAUGGUAGCUCAAGAUAUGAAUACAUGGCUCUGAUUUCACCUAAAACUAAUUCAACUAUGGCUCAAUAAGGAUCUCGAAAGCAUUCUAAAUAAAACUAAUUGGCAACACUUACCAGGUUUAAAAGCAAAUACGAAUACAAAUUCUGUGAAGGCCUUGAAAUUGUGAAAGAUAAAAGGUAGAGGAAUGUACCAGUUUCAUCCUGUGUCAUCUUGCGUAUAGAGGCUGCACCACGUGAUUGUAGUAUGGACCACCCACUGACCACCGUGCAUUCAC